AUUGAACGCUGGCGGCAUGCCUUACACAUACAAGUCGAACGGUAACAGGUCUUCGGAUGCUGACGAGUGGCGAACGGGUGAGUAAUACAUCGGAACGUGCCUAGUAGUGGGGGGUAACUACUCGAAAGAGUGGCUAAUACCGCAUGAGAUCUACGGAUGAAAGCAGGGGAUCGCAAGACCUUGUGCUACUAGAGCGGCCGAUGGCAGAUUAGGUAGUUGGUGGGAUAAAAGCUUACCAAGCCGACGAUCUGUAGCUGGUCUGAGAGGACGAUCAGCCACACUGGGACUGAGACCCGGCCCAGACUCCUACGGGAGGCAGCAGUGGGGAAUCUUGGACAAUGGGCGAAAGCCUGAUCCAGCAAUGCCGCGUGCAGGAUGAGGGCCUUCGGGUUGUAAACUGCUUUUGUACGGAACGAAAAGCCCCGGGUUAAUACCCUGGGGUGAUGACGGUACCGUAAGAAUAAGCACCGGCUAACUACGUGCCAGCCGCCGCCGUAA
RNAcentral lists this ribosomal RNA (498 nucleotides) under uncultured bacterium. RNAcentral's name for it is "partial 16S ribosomal RNA". It matches the Rfam family "Bacterial small subunit ribosomal RNA", at positions 30 to 523 of the family's 1533-position model. The record is from RNAcentral.